GGUCGAGUCGUAUAAAGGUUAGUACGAUCGCUUCACAAGAAGGAAGCGCGAUAAAUCCGGGUUCGAUUCCCGGCUCGACUA
Non-coding RNA from Conoideocrella luteorostrata, 81 nucleotides. NCBI's taxonomy places the organism in Eukaryota, Fungi, Ascomycota, Sordariomycetes, Hypocreales, Clavicipitaceae. The record is from the annotation of a GenBank genome assembly.